AUUGAACGCUGGCGGAAUGCUUUACGCAUGCAAGUCGAACGGUAGAGGGGGCAACCCCUCGAGAGUGGCGAACGGGUGAGUAAUAUAUCGGAACGUGCCCAGUCGUGGGGGAUAACGUAGCGAAAGUUACGCUAAUACCGCAUACGAUCUAAUGAUGAAAGCGGGGGAUCGCAAGACCUCGCGCGAUUGGAGCGGCCGAUAUCAGAUUAGGUAGUUGGUGGGGUAAAGGCUCACCAAGCCAACGAUCUGUAGCUGGUCUGAGAGGACGACCAGCCACACUGGAACUGGGACACGGUCCAGACUCCUACGGGAGGCAGCAGUGGGGGAUUUUGGACAAUGGACGCAAGUCUGAUCCAGCCAUUCCGCGUGCAGGAUGAAGGCCCUCGGGUUGUAAACUGCUUUUGUACGGAACGAAAAGGUCUCUCUUAAUACGGGGGGCUCAUGACGGUACCGUAAGAAUAAGCACCGGCUAACUACGUGCCAGCCGCCGCCGUAA
This 496-nucleotide ribosomal RNA is filed under the name uncultured bacterium. RNAcentral describes it as "partial 16S ribosomal RNA". It matches the Rfam family "Bacterial small subunit ribosomal RNA", at positions 30 to 523 of the family's 1533-position model. The record is from RNAcentral.